GUAGAAUUUCAGGUGUAGCGGUGAAAUGCGUAGAGAUCUGAAGGAAUACCGGUGGCGAAGGCGGCCCCCUGGACAGAUACUGACACUCAGAUGCGAAAGCGUGGGGAGGCAAACAGGAUUAGAUACCCUGGUAGUCCACGCUGUAAACGAUGUCUACUUGGAGGUUGUGGCCUUGAGCCGUGGCUUUCGGAGCUAACGCGUUAAGUAGACCGCCUGGGGAGUACGGUCGCAAGAUUAAAACUCAAAUGAAUUGACGGGGGCCCGCACAAGCGGUGGAGCAUGUGGUUUAAUUCGAUGCAACGCGAAGAACCUUACCUACUCUUGACAUCCAGAGAAUCUAGCGGAGACGCUGGAGUGCCUUCGGGAACUCUGAGACAGGUGCUGCAUGGCUGUCGUCAGCUCGUGUUGUGAAAUGUUGGGUUAAGUCCCGCAACGAGCGCAACCCUUAUCCUUGUUUGCCAGCGAGUAAUGUCGGGAACUCCAGGGAGACUGCCGGUGAUAAACCGGAGGAAGGUGGGGACGACGUCAAGUCAUCAUGGCCCUUACGAGUAGGG
RNAcentral lists this ribosomal RNA (554 nucleotides) under Vibrio sp. 03_296. Its description in RNAcentral is "bacterial SSU rRNA". It matches the Rfam family "Bacterial small subunit ribosomal RNA", at positions 661 to 1213 of the family's 1533-position model. The record is from RNAcentral. Lineage: Bacteria; Pseudomonadati; Pseudomonadota; Gammaproteobacteria; Vibrionales; Vibrionaceae.